Long non-coding RNA from Mus musculus (house mouse), 2031 nucleotides. RefSeq annotates it as Kaplan integration site 2. The transcript has a single exon. Lineage: Eukaryota; Metazoa; Chordata; Mammalia; Rodentia; Muridae. The record is from RefSeq and is marked provisional.
GGGAUCGGGCUUUGGGACGCAGCUCGAGGUGACGGACCGCUGCCACAGGCUCGUGUGCACAAGUGGUGCUGCGCGGACACUUUGGGGGUUAGGUGUGCGUGGGCCGCCGGGGCGCGUUUCCUGCACGUGGCUCCUCGCCGCCCUCCCUCCUCCACCAGCUAGGAGAGCAGAGGGCCAGGAGCUCUAGGAAGAUGCGUGCGGUUCCCUGAUCCUGGCAGGCAGGACAGCAGCGGGAUGGUCGCGCGCGCCACCUGCCAGGGCGGGUCACUGGCAGAUCCCCUACGCGCUUGUUCUGGAUGACUGGACCAGGAGAUGCGUACCUCCGCGGGCGCAGCUGUGAUCCCAGAGAGUUAACUAAGGUGGGAGGGGAUGGAGCUGGCAAGACUUGAGAAAAGCAAAGUACCUGAGUGUAGUUGAGGGGUGCCAGGCAACUCGUGAGAAAAGGACUCUCCCUUGUUGCUCUGAAGGUUUCUGGAGAACUUGUGGGUGGUCAAAUGCCAGGGUGCACGUGGGGUGUGGGGCGGGAGGACUCCCGACCUACCUUGGUUUCCCUCCCACCAACCCGAGAAUGGAGGGAGAGGCUUAAGCUUGGCGCGUUUUGGGGGCUUUGAAUGGAGAACUCCGUUUCCCAUAAUGCUUUGUUUCUUUCUGUUUAAUUUUGGUGGCCGCUAAGGUGUCUUGAAGACCUAAGCGCGUGGCAUGACUGGCUGGAGCACACCCUGCGUUCCCAGGAGGUUCACAGAUCUCUACUGGAGCCGCUGCUGAAGAUGCGGGAAUAGACCAGAGAAAAUCCCGAAAUGGUAAAAGACUGGGUCCUCUUUGCAAUUUUAGAAGUUGUACAGCGACUUUCUAGUAUAUAUGAUGGAGAGCAGAUGUGUUAAAGAAAGGUAUUAGCUAGAAGGAGCUUUCUCUGGAGGGCUGAGGUAUGGUUUUGCGAAGUUGAGUCAGGUUUUGUAAUAUAUUUUUAGUGGAGGCAAAAAUCUCUAGUUGUAGGAACCCAGUUCAAGAAGAAAAGUAUAAUAAGCCAAUACUUGCACUAUAGGAAGCAGAUUUCAUAUUUACUUCAAAAGUUUUGCUAAUUUAUAUUUAAAAUGUUUUAAGAACUAUCUUAGUCACUAAGUGGCUUCGAAAAGUUCCAACAUUUAAAAUAUCCUUUCUCAUUGAACACAUUUCAAGUUUUGUGUCCCUGAAGUUUAUUGGUGUCCCCCCAUCAACACAAACAUUCCAUCAUGGGAGGGAGGGAGCUCGUGACCCCUCAGACUGUCCUCUGCAGCAUUUUCCUGGGUAAGAUACACACUUGGAAAUGAGAGAGGUUUUUCCUGUGGAAGAUAAUGACAUGAAGCCAAAGAGCUAAUCUGACUUCUUUAGGUUUAAUGGAGAAAAUGGGUCCAUAAAUGUUUAAACAGAAGUAGAGCCCUUUGAAAUAGAUGAAAAUGUGACAUCUCUAGGCCAUCUGUGCGGUAUGUGAAGAGUGUAAAACUGUUUCUUAAAGCGGCUCUGAAAUUUCUAUCAUUUUCUCUUAAUGGGCUGGGGGCAGGGAUGCUUCAUGUAAUCAAACAUAGAGACCUUCCGAGUGGCUCCCCAAAGCUCUGGAUGAGCUCAAGACGUCAGUACUCACCCUAAUGUUAUUUAUUUAUUUUUUUGCUUACAUCUUUUCCUGGGCUCUUGCCUCUUAGAAAACCAUGGUGGAUAUUACAGCUCUGCAAAUUUUCUGGGAUGCGAAUCUCAAAUUUCCUUAGACGGAGAGGGAGUCCAAAAUCCUCUUACUCUUAAGAGUCAGACAUUCUGAGAUUGCCAGUGUUAUUCAUGUUUAAGUCUGUGUAAAUAAUUGAGCUUAUUAAUGUUUGAAGUAACACAACCCCAUUUGCACUCUUAACGGAAGGCAAACUUGUUUUAGAAAUAGUAACUCACAGUUCACUUACUUGCUGUGUGUGUGUGUGUGUGUUUAUCCAGGUGAGUCUGCAGAUCUGGCAAAGAAGAGUUCGUGGAAGACUUCAAGGUUACACUCCUGGAGUAUGCCUUGGCCAUGUC